Manis javanica (Malayan pangolin) is the source of this 699-nucleotide long non-coding RNA. RefSeq lists it as uncharacterized. NCBI's taxonomy places the organism in Eukaryota, Metazoa, Chordata, Mammalia, Pholidota, Manidae. The record is from RefSeq and is a predicted model, not a curated record.
GGGUUUUCCAGUGAUCAGUGAAUGGUAUUCUGAUUGGAAAAGUACAAGAUAAAAAAACAACUGCAAGGAAAUCAAUAACUAGUGAUGCCAAACAGAUGAGGCUUGAUUCACAUCUCUGUGAAAUAAAGAACAUUUCUGAGAGCAGAGUUUUCCAGUUAUCAUCUCCUUUCCUGUGUCAGAUUGCUGUUUUCCACGGAGACAGUUGAGGAUGAGGUUGAGGACAUGGGACUCAUGAAUUUUGAGAGAGGAGGAUGUGAAGCCUGACACACUUAUUGUGGGAAGUCUUUCAGAAAGAAAAAGACCAGUAAAUUGAAUGUUCUGCUCUUAAGAAAGACACAUGCCGGGAGGAAGGAAACUCACAAGGUUCUUAAUGACGUCAUUGACAAAAGAAGGUCCUGGUAACCUUCAGUGCCGCCGGUCAGACUUGACUGGUUGGUAGCUGAAGGAAAUUAAUUGAUUCCUGUUUUUGUGUGGGAGUGGAAAGGGCAUUAGGCAUAAUGAAUAAUGGCUUUCACCUUGAGCCUGUCCUCCAAACUUGCAAACAAAAAUAAAUGUCUUGAAGUCUUUUCUGAGAGAACUAGUUUAAGUGAAGGGGAAUCUCUGGUGGUCUUCAAUUCUGGUUGGAAAGGAAGGAUUUUUAUAUUUUAAAAACUUUUUUUUAGAAAAGUAAUAUAUGAAUGCUGAGGUUUGAAUUGUAUA